CUAAUACAUGCAAGUAGAACGCUGAAGGAGGAGCUUGCUUCUCUGGAUGAGUUGCGAACGGGUGAGUAACGCGUAGGUAACCUGCCUGGUAGCGGGGGAUAACUAUUGGAAACGAUAGCUAAUACCGCAUAAUAGCAGUUAUUGCAUGAUAACUGUUUGAAAGGUGCAAUUGCAUCACUACCAGAUGGACCUGCGUUGUAUUAGCUAGUUGGUGAGGUAACGGCUCACCAAGGCGACGAUACAUAGCCGACCUGAGAGGGUGAUCGGCCACACUGGGACUGAGACACGGCCCAGACUCCUACGGGAGGCAGCAGUAGGGAAUCUUCGGCAAUGGACGGAAGUCUGACCGAGCAACGCCGCGUGAGUGAAGAAGGUUUUCGGAUCGUAAAGCUCUGUUGUAAGAGAAGAACGAGUGUGAGAGUGGAAAGUUCACACUGUGACGGUAUCUUACCAGAAAGGGACGGCUAACUACGUGCCAGCAGCCGCGGCAAUACGUAGGUCCCGAGCGUUGUCCGGAUUUAUUGGGCGUAAAGCGAGCGCAGGCGGUUAGAUAAGUCUGAAGUUAAAGGCUGUGGCUUAACCAUAGUACGCUUUGGAAACUGUUUAACUUGAGUGCAAGAGGGGAGAGUGGAAUUCCAUGUGUAGCGGUGAAAUGCGUAGAUAUAUGGAGGAACACCGGUGGCGAAAGCGGCUCUCUGGCUUGUAACUGACGCUGAGGCUCGAAAGC
RNAcentral lists this ribosomal RNA (727 nucleotides) under uncultured Bacilli bacterium. RNAcentral describes it as "bacterial SSU rRNA". It matches the Rfam family "Bacterial small subunit ribosomal RNA", at positions 48 to 760 of the family's 1533-position model. Lineage: Bacteria; Bacillati; Bacillota; Bacilli. The record is from RNAcentral.